This 492-nucleotide ribosomal RNA is filed under the name uncultured bacterium. Its description in RNAcentral is "partial 16S ribosomal RNA". It matches the Rfam family "Bacterial small subunit ribosomal RNA", at positions 29 to 507 of the family's 1533-position model. The record is from RNAcentral.
AGUGAACGCUGGCGGUAUGCCUAACACAUGCAAGUCGAACGGCAGCACAGUAAGAGCUUGCUCUUACGGGUGGCGAGUGGCGGACGGGUGAGGAAUACAUCGGAAUCUACUUUUUCGUGGGGGAUAACGUAGGGAAACUUACGCUAAUACCGCAUACGACCUACGGGUUAAAGCAGGGGAUCUUCGGACCUUGCGCGAUUGAAUGAGCCGAUGUCGGAUUAGCUAGUUGGCGGGGUAAAGGCCCACCAAGGCGACGAUCCGUAGCUGGUCUGAGAGGAUGAUCAGCCACACUGGAACUGAGACACGGUCCAGACUCCUACGGGAGGCAGCAGUGGGGAAUAUUGGGCAAUGGGCGCAAGCCUGAUCCAGCCAUACCGCGUGGGUGAAGAAGGCCUUCGGGUUGUAAAGCCCUUUUGUUGGGAAAGAAAAGCAGCAGGUUAAUACCCCGCUGUUCUGACGGUACCCAAAGAAUAAGCACCGGCUAACUUCGUG